Molecule: non-coding RNA, 24 nt
Filed under: Gossypium hirsutum (cotton)
Lineage: Eukaryota; Viridiplantae; Streptophyta; Magnoliopsida; Malvales; Malvaceae
Source: RNAcentral
AAAACGAACCAGGUGUGUAACGAA